This 119-nucleotide transfer RNA is filed under the name Leptolyngbyaceae cyanobacterium M33_DOE_097. RNAcentral's name for it is "tRNA-Arg". The record is from RNAcentral. Lineage: Bacteria; Bacillati; Cyanobacteriota; Cyanophyceae; Leptolyngbyales; Leptolyngbyaceae.
GAGGAUGUAACUCAGAUGGACAGAGUGCUUGCUUCCGAGACAAGUGGUCACAGGUACUGCUAUCUCUUUCAGAGACGCUUCGCGAACGCGGAAGCAAGCUACGAUCCCUGUCAUCCUCG